GUGAUCGUAGCUCAACCCGGUAGAGCAUCUGCCUGUGGAGCAGAAUGUUGCGGGUUCAAAUCCCGUCGAUCACC
Molecule: transfer RNA, 74 nt
Filed under: Pseudomonadota bacterium
Lineage: Bacteria; Pseudomonadati; Pseudomonadota
Also listed under: 1 other name
Description: tRNA-His
Rfam family: tRNA
About the family: Transfer RNA (tRNA) molecules are approximately 80 nucleotides in length.
Source: RNAcentral